GCGUGCUUAACACAUGCAAGUCGAACGGAAAGGCCCUGCUUUUGUGGGGUGCUCGAGUGGCGAACGGGUGAGUAACACGUGAGUAACCCGCCCUUGACUUUGGGAUAACUUCAGGAAACUGGGGCUAAUACCGGAUAGGAGCUCCUGCUGCAUGGUGGGGGUUGGAAAGUUUCGGCGGUUGGGGAUGGACUCGCGGCUUAUCAGCUUGUUGGUGGGGUAGUGGCUUACCAAGGCUUUGACGGGUAGCCGGCCUGAGAGGGUGACCGGCCACAUUGGGACUGAGAUACGGCCCAGACUCCUACGGGAGGCAGCAGUGGGGAAUAUUGCACAAUGGGCGGAAGCCUGAUGCAGCAACGCCGCGUGCGGGAUGACGGCCUUCGGGUUGUAAACCGCUUUCGCCUGUGACGAAGCGUGAGUGACGGUAAUGGGUAAAGAAGCACCGGCUAACUACGUGCCAGCAGCCGCGGUGAUACGUAGGGUGCGAGCGUUGUCCGGAUUUAUUGGGCGUAAAGGGCUCGUAGGUGGUUGAUCGCGUCGGAAGUGUAAUCUUGGGGCUUAACCCUGAGCGUGCUUUCGAUACGGGUUGACUUGAGGAAGGUAGGGGAGAAUGGAAUUCCUGGUGGAGCGGUGGAAUGCGCAGAUAUCAGGAGGAACACCAGUGGCGAAGGCGGUUCUCUGGGCCUUUCCUGACGCUGAGGAGCGAAAGCGUGGGGAGCGAACAGGCUUAGAUACCCUGGUAGUCCACGCUGUAAACGGUGGGUACUAGGUGUGGGGUCCAUUCCACGGGUUCCGUGCCGUAGCUAACGCUUUAAGUACCCCGCCUGGGGAGUACGGCCGCAAGGCUAAAACUCAAAGGAAUUGACGGGGCCCCGCACAAGCGGCGGAGCAUGCGGAUUAAUUCGAUGCAACGCGUAGAACCUUACCUGGGUUUGACAUGGAUCGGGAGUGCUCAGAGAUGGGUGUGCCUCUUUUGGGGUCGGUUCACAGGUGGUGCAUGGCUGUCGUCAGCUCGUGUCGUGAGAUGUUGGGUUAAGUCCCGCAACGAGCGCAGCCCUUGUUCACUGUUGCCAGCACGUUAUGGUGGGGACUCAGUGGAGACCGCCGGGGUCAACUCGGAGGAAGGUGGGGAUGACGUCAAGUUAUCAUGCCCCUUAUGUCCAGGGCUUCACGCAUGCUACAAUGGCUGGUACAGAGAGUGGCGAGCCUGUGAGGGUGAGCGAAUCUCGGAAAGCCGGUCUCAGUUCGGAUUGGGGUCUGCAACUCGACCUCAUGAAGUCGGAGUCGCUAGUAAUCGCAGAUCAGCAACGCUGCGGUGAAUACGUUCCCGGGGCUUGUACACACCGCCCGUCAAGUCAUGAAAGUUGGUAACACCCGAAGCCGGUGGCCUAACCGUUGUGGGGGAGCCGUCGAAGGUGGGACUGGUGAUUAGGACUAAGUCGU
RNAcentral lists this ribosomal RNA (1440 nucleotides) under uncultured organism. RNAcentral describes it as "16S ribosomal RNA". It matches the Rfam family "Bacterial small subunit ribosomal RNA". The record is from RNAcentral.